UGCACAUGAUGAUAAAUAAUAUUUGCUAUCUGAGAGCUGUGAUUACACUCUUCCACCAAGAUCCCUGAUGCA
This is a small nucleolar RNA of Rana temporaria (common frog), 72 nucleotides long. RefSeq annotates it as small nucleolar RNA SNORD24. The transcript has a single exon. Lineage: Eukaryota; Metazoa; Chordata; Amphibia; Anura; Ranidae. The record is from RefSeq and is a predicted model, not a curated record.